GGUCAAUGAUGAGUAGUAAAAGGGCUGACUCCCCAGAUCCCCUCCCACAUCCUCUCCAUCCCCAGCUGCCUCUCUCCCAUCGGGCUCCAGUAGUGCUGUGAUGGGCAGAGGGGCAUCUGACACUCCAUGACGUCCCAGUUCCGUAUUCUUGGCGAGCCCAAGGAAGAUGUGAUUGGCGUCCCACAGCUCCUCAGAAGGGAUUUGAUUGUUGGGUCUGCUGGUAUCUGUGGUUAUGAUCUGAUGUUUCAAGCUGAGACC
This is a non-coding RNA of Diceros bicornis minor, 258 nucleotides long. RefSeq annotates it as small Cajal body-specific RNA 6. Lineage: Eukaryota; Metazoa; Chordata; Mammalia; Perissodactyla; Rhinocerotidae. The record is from RefSeq and is a predicted model, not a curated record. The transcript has a single exon.